UGAUCGCCGUUGAAAGACGGUUUCCUCUUCGGAGGCACCUGCACAGGUGCUGCAUGGCUGUCGUCAGCUCGUGUCGUGAGAUGUUGGGUUAAGUCCCGCAACGAGCGCAACCCUUAUCCCUAGUUGCCAUCAGGUAAAGCUGGGAACUCUGGGGAGACUGCCGGUGAUAAACCGGAGGAAGGCGGGGAUGACGUCAAGUCCUCAUGGCCCUUACAUCCCGGGCUACACACGUGCUACAAUGGCAGGUACAGAGGGCUGCGAAGCCGCGAGGUGGAGCGAAUCCCAGAAAACCUGUCUCAGUCCGGAUUGAAGUCUGCAACUCGACUUCAUGAAGGCGGAAUCGCUAGUAACCGCGAAUCAGCAGGUCGCGGUGAAUACGUUCCCGGGCCUU
This 391-nucleotide ribosomal RNA is filed under the name uncultured Latescibacterota bacterium. RNAcentral's name for it is "bacterial SSU rRNA". It matches the Rfam family "Bacterial small subunit ribosomal RNA", at positions 992 to 1382 of the family's 1533-position model. Lineage: Bacteria; Pseudomonadati; Candidatus Latescibacterota. The record is from RNAcentral.